This 1271-nucleotide small RNA is filed under the name Penicillium synnematicola. RNAcentral's name for it is "eukaryotic LSU rRNA". The stretch from base 408 to 1271 matches the Rfam family "Eukaryotic large subunit ribosomal RNA", at positions 1 to 883 of the family's 3401-position model. Lineage: Eukaryota; Fungi; Ascomycota; Eurotiomycetes; Eurotiales; Aspergillaceae. The record is from RNAcentral.
UUACGUCCCCGGGCCCGCGCCCGCCGAAGACACCCUCGAACUCUGUCUGAAGAUUGUAGUCUGAGUGAAAAUAUAAAUUAUUUAAAACUUUCAACAACGGAUCUCUUGGUUCCGGCAUCGAUGAAGAACGCAGCGAAAUGCGAUACGUAAUGUGAAUUGCAAAUUCAGUGAAUCAUCGAGUCUUUGAACGCACAUUGCGCCCCCUGGUAUUCCGGGGGGCAUGCCUGUCCGAGCGUCAUUUCUGCCCUCAAGCACGGCUUGUGUGUUGGGCCCCGUCCUCCGAUUCCGGGGGACGGGCCCGAAAGGCAGCGGCGGCACCGAGUCCGGUCCUCGAGCGUAUGGGGCUUUGUCACCCGCUCUGUAGGCCCGGCCGGCGCUUGCCGAUCAACCCAAAUUUUUAUCCAGGUUGACCUCGGAUCAGGUAGGGAUACCCGCUGAACUUAAGCAUAUCAAUAAGCGGAGGAAAAGAAACCAACAGGGAUUGCCCCAGUAACGGCGAGUGAAGCGGCAAGAGCUCAAAUUUGAAAGCUGGCUCCUUCGGGGUCCGCAUUGUAAUUUGCAGAGGAUGCUUCGGGAGCGGUCCCCAUCUAAGUGCCCUGGAACGGGACGUCAUAGAGGGUGAGAAUCCCGUAUGGGAUGGGGUGUCCGCGCCCGUGUGAAGCUCCUUCGACGAGUCGAGUUGUUUGGGAAUGCAGCUCUAAAUGGGUGGUAAAUUUCAUCUAAAGCUAAAUAUUGGCCGGAGACCGAUAGCGCACAAGUAGAGUGAUCGAAAGAUGAAAAGCACUUUGAAAAGAGAGUUAAAAAGCACGUGAAAUUGUUGAAAGGGAAGCGCUUGCGACCAGACUCGCUCGCGGGGUUCAGCCGGCAUUCGUGCCGGUGUAUUUCCCCGCGGGCGGGCCAGCGUCGGUUUGGGCGGUCGGUCAAAGGCCCUCGGAAGGUAACGCCCCUAGGGGCGUCUUAUAGCCGAGGGUGCAAUGCGACCUGCCUAGACCGAGGAACGCGCUUCGGCUCGGACGCUGGCAUAAUGGUCGUAAGCGACCCGUCUUGAAACACGGACCAAGGAGUCUAACAUCUACGCGAGUGUUCGGGUGUCAAACCCGUGCGCGAAGUGAAAGCGAACGGAGGUGGGAACCCUUACGGGUGCACCAUCGACCGAUCCUGAAGUCUUCGGAUGGAUUUGAGUAAGAGCGUAGCUGUUGGGACCCGAAAGAUGGUGAACUAUGCCUGAAUAGGGCGAAGCCAGAGGAAACUCUGGUGGAGGCUCGUAGCGG